RNAcentral lists this ribosomal RNA (1293 nucleotides) under Marinobacter adhaerens. RNAcentral describes it as "bacterial SSU rRNA". It matches the Rfam family "Bacterial small subunit ribosomal RNA", at positions 47 to 1332 of the family's 1533-position model. The record is from RNAcentral. Lineage: Bacteria; Pseudomonadati; Pseudomonadota; Gammaproteobacteria; Pseudomonadales; Marinobacteraceae.
CAGCUACACAUGCAGUCGAGCGGUACGGGGGUGCUUGCACCCCGCGGACGAGCGGCGGACGGGUGAGUAAUGCAUAGGAAACUGCCCAGUAGUGGGGGAUAGCCCGGGGAAACCCGGAUUAAUACCGCGUACGCCCUUCGGGGGAAAGCAGGGGAUCUUCGGACCUUGCGCUAUUGGAUGUGCCUAUGUCGGAUUAGCUAGUUGGUGGGGUAAAGGCCUACCAAGGCGACGAUCCGUAGCUGGUCUGAGAGGAUGAUCAGCCACAUCGGGGACUGAGACACGGCCCGAACUCCUACGGGAGGCAGCAGUGGGGAAUAUUGGACAAUGGGGGCAACCCUGAUCCCAGCCAUGCCGCGUGUGUGAAGAAGGCUUUCGGGUUGUAAAGCACUUUCAGUGAGGAGGAAAACUCUGCGACUAAUACUCGUAGGGCUUGACGUUACUCACAGAAGAAGCACCGGCUAACUCCGUGCCAGCAGCCGCGGUAAUACGGAGGGUGCAAGCGUUAAUCGGAAUUACUGGGCGUAAAGCGCGCGUAGGUGGUUUGAUAAGCGAGAUGUGAAAGCCCCGGGCUUAACCUGGGAACGGCAUUUCGAACUGUCAGGCUAGAGUAUGGUAGAGGGUAGUGGAAUUUCCUGUGUAGCGGUGAAAUGCGUAGAUAUAGGAAGGAACACCAGUGGCGAAGGCGGCUACCUGGACCAAUACUGACACUGAGGUGCGAAAGCGUGGGGAGCAAACAGGAUUAGAUACCCUGGUAGUCCACGCCGUAAACGAUGUCUACUAGCCGUUGGGACUCUUGAAGUCUUAGUGGCGCAGCUAACGCACUAAGUAGACCGCCUGGGGAGUACGGCCGCAAGGUUAAAACUCAAAUGAAUUGACGGGGGCCCGCGCAAGCGGUGGAGCAUGUGGUUUAAUUCGACGCAACGCGAAGAACCUUACCUGGCCUUGACAUGCAGAGAACUUUCCAGAGAUGGAUUGGUGCCUUCGGGAACUCUGACACAGGUGCUGCAUGGCCGUCGUCAGCUCGUGUCGUGAGAUGUUGGGUUAAGUCCCGUAACGAGCGCAACCCCUAUCCCUAGUUGCUAGCAGUUCGGCUGAGAACUCUAGGGAGACUGCCGGUGACAAACCGGAGGAAGGUGGGGAUGACGUCAGGUCAUCAUGGCCCUUACGGCCAGGGCUACACACGUGCUACAAUGGUGCGCACAGAGGGCUGCAAACCCGCGAGGGGGAGCCAAUCUCACAAAACGCAUCGUAGUCCGGAUCGCAGUCUGCAACUCGACUGCGUGAAGUCGGAAU